RNAcentral lists this long non-coding RNA (1266 nucleotides) under Coturnix japonica (Japanese quail). Its description in RNAcentral is "lncRNA (ENSCJPG00005014588.1)". Lineage: Eukaryota; Metazoa; Chordata; Aves; Galliformes; Phasianidae. The record is from RNAcentral.
AUUUUUAGGGCACAAGAACGUGGUGUUUGUGGACCCAUGUCAGACCUUUCUCCUGUAAAGCAAACAUGAUGUGUAGGACAGAAGUGUCUGUGCUGCAAGGAGCAGGAAUGUUGAUCGCACCAGAGGUCACCGGGAGCUCCAUUGGGAAGCAAAGCAGAGCAGUCACUCCUGAUGGAGUGCCUCAGAACAUUGUAAUUAGUGAUGUCUGAGGAAAGGCAGCACUUAAUGGAAGGAAAACUUGAAAGAAGACUAUAGCUAACAGAUCAUACUAAACAGCACGCAGAAUUAGCUAAAAGUAAUGGGAAACCAUAGUCAUGUCUCGGUGUGACCUUCAGAAUCUGUGUGCCACAUUUUAGCAGGUCUGCAGGCACCUCAUAAAAUUAAAGCCCCUUGAAUAGGAUUUUGAGCAUCAACUGUUUGUAUGGAGAGAACAUAGUGAGCCAUUUUCCCAUCUUGUAACCUCUUAAGCUUGAGUACACCUGCUUGUCCAGCUGAGCUGUGUUACAUGUGUCCCAGUCAUAUGUGAUGCAAUUUUUGCUGCUAGGACUUCUUUCUAACCACAGUAACCUUAACUUGAACCUACUCUCUCUUCUGGCAAUAGGAAAUUUUCUUCUUGACAUCUAGUAUCUAGCUGAAGAAAUGAAGAAUAAUGUCAGCAUUGUGCAGCUUUCAACUCUAUUGGCUUCAAAGGGAUAUGUUCUGCUUUCAGGUGAGAAUGGCUCCAGCCUGUGACUUGCUCUGGGACAACAGUUGCCAAAGGCUUCCAGUGGUGAGCUCUUACUCCGUGAUCAUAUUUUUCCAUGACUUGGACCAUUGAGAGAGAGAAUCUUUCAGUGUGAGGUGCUUGCUGACUGUCUGGGGAAGUGGGAGCAGAGCUUGUUUCUAUGCACAGAGCCAGAAAAGCUCCACCAUCGUUAAGAGUGAAGCUGAGAGUCAAAACGUUCAGCCCUACUAAAACUCUGGUGCCUUUUCCUUCGAGGAGGCCUUGUGCCCUGACUCUCUGUGUCAGGAAAUUGAAAUUUGUUGGGGGUUAAUCAUUGGGUCAGAGGUGUGCUGUUUAAUUUCCUCCUGAAAGUUAAAUUAUCUGAUCCCUUUUGGGGAUUUCUUUGAUCAGUGAGGCUUGUGAUGUGCCAACCAGGUAACAAAGCUUUUGUUAGCCCCCGUCCAUCCCUUCUCCCAAACACACCACACAACCCAGGAGGCAAUGAGUGGACGAUCAUCUUUGACUCCUGAGUUUUUCUCUGGAGCAAACCUGUAUAAUUCCCA